UAAGACGAACCGAGCGAACGUUGUUCGGAAUCACUGGGCUUAAAGGGCGCGUAGGCGGGCUGCCAAGUCCGGGGUGAAAUCCUCCCGCUCAACGGGAGAACUGCCCCGGAUACUGGCGGCCUCGAGGGGGGUAGGGGCAUCUGGAACUGUGGGUGGAGCGGUGAAAUGCGUUGAUAUCCACAGGAACUCCGGUGGCGAAGGCGAGGUGCUGGACCCCAUCUGACGCUGAGGCGCGAAAGCCAGGGGAGCAAACGGG
RNAcentral lists this ribosomal RNA (256 nucleotides) under uncultured bacterium. Its description in RNAcentral is "partial 16S ribosomal RNA". It matches the Rfam family "Bacterial small subunit ribosomal RNA", at positions 521 to 776 of the family's 1533-position model. The record is from RNAcentral.